GGCCUUUAGCUCUACCAGUAUUAAAGGUCCAACCUGCCCAGUGAAAACUUUUUAAACGGCCGCGGUAUCCUAACCGUGCAAAGGUAGCGCAAUCACUUGCCCCUUAAUUUAGGGCUAGUAUGAAUGGUUUAAUGAGGGCAUAACUGUCUCCUGAGGCCAAUUAAUGAAAUUGAUAACUCAGUACAAACGCUGAAAUAAACACAUAAGACGAGAAGACCCUGUGGAACUUUAAAUAACACUAGAGGGCGAUAAACCUACCCCACCUAGUACAAAUUUUUAGUUGGGGCAACUAUGGAGUAAAACAAAACCUCCACGAAAUACGACUAACAAUCGUAUACAAGGCACACACGCCAACACCAUAAGAGUUUGAUCCAGUAAAACUGACCUUCGAACCCAGCUACCCCAGGGAUAACAGCGCCAUCCCCUUCAAGAGUCCAUAUCGCCAAGGGGGUUUACGACCUCGAUGUUGGAUCAGGACACCCAAGCGGUGCAGCCGCUGCUAAAGGCUCGUUUGUUCAACGAAUAAUGUCCU
RNAcentral lists this ribosomal RNA (532 nucleotides) under Lygodactylus montanus (Mount Ivohibe gecko). RNAcentral describes it as "partial 16S ribosomal RNA". It matches the Rfam family "Bacterial large subunit ribosomal RNA", at positions 1893 to 2597 of the family's 2925-position model. The record is from RNAcentral. Lineage: Eukaryota; Metazoa; Chordata; Lepidosauria; Squamata; Gekkonidae.